AUUCAAAUCCUUUAACGAGGAUCUAGCGGAGGGCAAGUCUGGUGCCAGCAGCCGCGGUAAUUCCAGCUCCGCAGGUGUAUAUCUAUGCUGCUGCGGUUAAAAAGCUCGUAGUUGGAUCUGCGUGCUCGGAACUGGUUGGCUCACUGAGUUCAAACUGGUCUCCGGCGCUUUAUUGGCUGGUUUUCCCUUGAUGCUCUUAACCGGGUGUCUUGGGUGGCUAGCACGUUUACUUUGAAAAAAUUAGAGUGCUCAAUACAGGCGUAAAGCCUUGAAUAGUGGUGCAUGGAAUAAUAGAAUAGGACCUCGGCUCUAUUUUGUUGGUUUUCGGAACGCGAGGUAAUGAUUAAGAGGGACAGACGGGGGCAUUCGUAUUGCGACGUUAGAGGUGAAAUUCUUGGAUCGUCGCAAGACGGACGACUGCGAAAGCAUUUGCCAAGAAUGUUUUCAUUAAUCAAGAUCGAAAGUUAGAGGUUCGAAGGCGAUCAGAUACCGCCCUAGUUCUAACCGUAAACGAUGCCAACUAGCGAUUCGCAGGCGUUAAACAACGACCUUGCGGGCAGCUUCCCGGAAACGAAAGUGUUCGGGUUCCGGGGGAAGUAUGGUUGCAAAGCUGAAACUUAAAGGAAUUGACGGAAGGGCACCACCAGGAGUGGAGCCUGCGGCUUAAUUUGACCCAACACGGGAAAACUCACCCGGCCCGGACACCGUAAGGAUUGACAGAUUGAGAGCUCUUUCUUGAUUCGGUGGGUGGUGGUGCAUGGCCGUUCUUAGUUGGUGGAGCGAUUUGUCUGGUUUAUUCCGAUAACGAACGAGACUCUGGCCUACUAAAUAGUGGGCGGAUUCUUUCUGUCCGCAACACUUCUUAGAGGGACAAGCGGUGUUCAGCCGCACGAGAUUGAGCAAUAACAGGUCUGUGAUGCCCUUAGAUGUCCGGGGCUGCACGCGCGCUACACUGAAGGAAUCAGCGUGCUUUCUGACCUUGCCCGAAAGGGCUGGGUAACCCGAUGAAAAUCCUUCGUGAUUGGGAUAGGGACUUGCAAUUAUUUCCCUUGAACGAGGAAUUCCCAGUAAGUGUGGGUCAUAAGCUCGCGUUGAUUACGUCCCUGCCCUUUGUACACACCGCCCGUCGCUGCCCGGAACUGAGCCGUUUUCGAGAAGAACAGGGACCGUCGUUGAAGGGCCUUAACGGGCUUUUCUCUGAUAGAAA
Molecule: ribosomal RNA, 1207 nt
Filed under: metagenome
Description: SSU rRNA
Rfam family: Eukaryotic small subunit ribosomal RNA
Source: RNAcentral